RNAcentral lists this ribosomal RNA (1402 nucleotides) under uncultured bacterium. RNAcentral describes it as "16S ribosomal RNA". It matches the Rfam family "Bacterial small subunit ribosomal RNA". The record is from RNAcentral.
AGAGUUUGAUCCUGGCUCAGGAUGAACGCUAGCGGCAGGCUCAACACAUGCAAGUCGAGGGGCAGCGGGGAGGAAGCUUGCUUUCUCCGCCGGCGACCGGCGCACGGGUGAGUAACACGUAUGCAACCUGCCCCUGUCAGGGGGACAACCCGCCGAAAGGCGGGCUAAACCCGCGUACAUGCCACCGGGGCAUCCCGGAGGCAGGAAAGGCUUCGGCCGGACAGGGAUGGGCAUGCGGCGCAUUAGGCAGUAGGCGGGGUAACGGCCCACCUAACCGACGAUGCGUAGGGGUUCUGAGAGGAAGGUCCCCCACACUGGUACUGAGACACGGACCAGACUCCUACGGGAGGCAGCAGUGAGGAAUAUUGGUCAAUGGUCGGGAGACUGAACCAGCCAAGCCGCGUGAGGGAGGAAGGUACAGAGUAUCGUAAACCUCUUUUGUCAGGGAACAAAGGCGGGGACGUGUCCCCGGAUGAGUGUACCUGAAGAAAAAGCAUCGGCUAACUCCGUGCCAGCAGCCGCGGUAAUACGGAGGAUGCGAGCGUUAUCCGGAUUUAUUGGGUUUAAAGGGUGCGCAGGCGGUCUGUUAAGUCAGCGGUCAAAGCCCGGGGCUCAACCCCGGCCCGCCGUUGAAACUGGCAGUCUCGAGUUGGAGAGAAGUAUGCGGAAUGCGCGGUGUAGCGGUGAAAUGCAUAGAUAUCGCGCAGAACUCCGAUUGCGAAGGCAGCAUGCCGGCUCCACACUGACGCUGAGGCACGAAAGCGUGGGUAUCGAACAGGAUUAGAUACCCUGGUAGUCCACGCAGUAAACGAUGAAUGCUGGCUGUCCGGGGGGAUUGACCCCUGGGUGGCGAAGCGAAAGCGAUAAGCAUUCCACCUGGGGAGUACGCCGGCAACGGUGAAACUCAAAGGAAUUGACGGGGGCCCGCACAAGCGGAGGAACAUGUGGUUUAAUUCGAUGAUACGCGAGGAACCUUACCCGGGCUCAAACGGGGAGUGACUCAGGCAGAGACGCCUGUUUCCCACGGGACACUCCCCGAGGUGCUGCAUGGUUGUCGUCAGCUCGUGCCGUGAGGUGUCGGCUUAAGUGCCAUAACGAGCGCAACCCCCGCGUGCAGUUGCUAACAGAUAACGCUGAGGACUCUGCACGGACUGCCGGCGCAAGCCGCGAGGAAGGCGGGGAUGACGUCAAAUCAGCACGGCCCUUACGUCCGGGGCGACACACGUGUUACAAUGGGUGGUACAGCGGGAAGCCAGGCGGCGACGCCGAGCGGAACCCGAAAUCCACUCUCAGUUCGGAUCGGAGUCUGCAACCCGACUCCGUGAAGCUGGAUUCGCUAGUAAUCACGCAUCAGCCAUGGCGCGGUGAAUACGUUCCCGGGCCUUGCACACACCGCCCGUCA